AGAUAGAAGAAGAAGAAAAAAAAAAUCAUUUUGUUAGAAAAUCAUAUUUUUUUAAAACACCAAAAAGAAAAUAGAAA
This 77-nucleotide small RNA is filed under the name Arabidopsis thaliana (thale cress). RNAcentral's name for it is "ATSL240840". Lineage: Eukaryota; Viridiplantae; Streptophyta; Magnoliopsida; Brassicales; Brassicaceae. The record is from RNAcentral.